GGCAUGGCGGGCGUGCUAUACAUGCAAGUCGAGCGAAUCAAUGGGAGCUUGCUCCCUGAGAUUAGCGGCGGACGGGUGAGUAACACGUGGGUAACCUGCCUGUAAGACUGGGAUAACUUCGGGAAACCGGAGCUAAUACCGGAUAGUUUCUUUUCUCGCAUGAGAGAAGAUGGAAAGAUGGUUUCGGCUAUCACUUACAGAUGGACCCGCGGCGCAUUAGCUAGUUGGUGAGGUAACGGCUCACCAAGGCGACAAUGCGUAGCCAACCUGAGAGGGUGAUCGGCCACACUGGGACUGAAACACGGCCCAAACUCCUACGGGAGGCAGCAGUAGGGAAUCUUCCGCAAUGGACGAAAGUCUGACGGAGCAACGCCCCGUGAGCGAAAAAGGCCUUCGGGUCGUAAAGCUCUGUUGUUAGGGAAAAACAAGUACAAGAGUAACUGCUCGUACCUUGACGGUACCUAACCAGAAAGCCACGGCUAACUACGUGCCAGCAGCCGCGGUAAUACGUAGGUGGCAAGCGUUGUCCGGAAUUAUGGGGCGUAAAGCGCGCGCAGGCGGUCCUUUAAGUCUGAUGUGAAAGCCCACGGCUCACCCGUGGAGGGUCAUUGGAAACUGGGGGACUUGAGUGCAGAAAAGGAGAGUGGAAUUCCACGUGUAGCGGUGAAAUGCGUAAAGAUGUGGAGGAACACCAGUGGCGAAGGCAACUCUCUGGUCUGUAACUGACGCUAAGGCGCGAAAGCGUGGGGGAGCAAACAGGAUUAGAUACCCUGGUAGUCCACGCCGUAAACGAUGAGUGC
RNAcentral lists this ribosomal RNA (800 nucleotides) under Bacillus sp. S622B-33. RNAcentral's name for it is "bacterial SSU rRNA". It matches the Rfam family "Bacterial small subunit ribosomal RNA", at positions 34 to 816 of the family's 1533-position model. The record is from RNAcentral. Lineage: Bacteria; Bacillati; Bacillota; Bacilli; Caryophanales; Bacillaceae.